Molecule: transfer RNA, 72 nt
Filed under: Urocitellus parryii (Arctic ground squirrel)
Lineage: Eukaryota; Metazoa; Chordata; Mammalia; Rodentia; Sciuridae
Also listed under: 1 other name
Description: Spermophilus parryii (Arctic ground squirrel) tRNA
Rfam family: tRNA
About the family: Transfer RNA (tRNA) molecules are approximately 80 nucleotides in length. Their secondary structure includes four short double-helical elements and three loops (D, anti-codon, and T loops). Further hydrogen bonds mediate the characteristic L-shaped molecular structure. tRNAs have two regions of fundamental functional importance: the anti-codon, which is responsible for specific mRNA codon recognition, and the 3' end, to which the tRNAs corresponding amino acid is attached (by aminoacyl-tRNA synthetases). tRNAs cope with the degeneracy of the genetic code in two manners: having more than one tRNA (with a specific anti-codon) for a particular amino acid; and 'wobble' base-pairing, i.e. permitting non-standard base-pairing at the 3rd anti-codon position.
Source: Rfam by way of RNAcentral
UGGGGGGGAGCUCAGUGGUAGAGCACCUGCCUUGCAUGCAUGAGACACUGGGUUCGAUUCUCAGCACCACAU